RNAcentral lists this ribosomal RNA (253 nucleotides) under uncultured bacterium. Its description in RNAcentral is "partial 16S ribosomal RNA". It matches the Rfam family "Bacterial small subunit ribosomal RNA", at positions 524 to 776 of the family's 1533-position model. The record is from RNAcentral.
UACGUAGGGGGCAAGCGUUGUCCGGAAUUAUUGGGCGUAAAGAGCUCGUAGGCGGUUUGUCGCGUCUGCUGUGAAAACCCGAGGCUCAACCUCGGGCCUGCAGUGGGUACGGGCAGACUAGAGUGCGGUAGGGGAGAUUGGAAUUCCUGGUGUAGCGGUGGAAUGCGCAGAUAUCAGGAGGAACACCGAUGGCGAAGGCAGAUCUCUGGGCCGUAACUGACGCUGAGGAGCGAAAGCAUGGGUAGCGAACAGG